This 429-nucleotide ribosomal RNA is filed under the name Gemmatimonadota bacterium. RNAcentral's name for it is "Gemmatimonadetes bacterium partial 16S ribosomal RNA". It matches the Rfam family "Bacterial small subunit ribosomal RNA", at positions 355 to 776 of the family's 1533-position model. Lineage: Bacteria; Pseudomonadati; Gemmatimonadota. The record is from RNAcentral.
UAGGGAAUCUUCGGCAAUGGACGAAAGUCUGACCGAGCAACGCCGCGUGAGUGAAGAAGGUUUUCGGAUCGUAAAACUCUGUUGUUAGAGAAGAACAAGGACGUUAGUAACUGAACGUCCCCUGACGGUAUCUAACCAGAAAGCCACGGCUAACUACGUGCCAGCAGCCGCGGUAAUACGUAGGUGUCAAGCGUUGUCCGGAUUUAUUGGGCGUAAAGCGAGCGCAGGCGGUUUCUUAAGUCUGAUGUGAAAGCCCCCGGCUCAACCGGGGAGGGUCAUUGGAAGCUGGGAGACUUGAGUGCAGAAGGGGGGAGUGGAAUUCCAGGUGUAGCGGUGAGAUGCGUAGAUAUAUGGGGGAACACCAGUGGCGAAGGCGGCUCUCUGGUCUGUAACUGACGCUGAGGCUCGAAAGCGUGGGGAGCAAACAGG